GGGGACAACCCGCCGAAAGGCGGGCUAAACCCGCGUACAUGCCACCGGGGCAUCCCGGAGGCAGGAAAGGCUUCGGCCGGACAGGGAUGGGCAUGCGGCGCAUUAGGCAGUGGGCGGGGUAACGGCCCACCCAACCGACGAUGCGUAGGGGUUCUGAGAGGAAGGUCCCCCACACUGGUACUGAGACACGGACCAGACUCCUACGGGAGGCAGCAGUGAGGAAUAUUGGUCAAUGGUCGGGAGACUGAACCAGCCAAGCCGCGUGAGGGAUGAAGGUACAGAGUAUCGUAAACCUCUUUUGUCAGGGAACAAAGGCGGGGACGUGUCCCCGGAUGAGUGUACCUGAAGAAAAAGCAUCGGCUAACUCCGUGCCAGCAGCCGCGGUAAUACGGAGGAUGCGAGCGUUAUCCGGAUUUAUUGGGUUUAAAGGGUGCGCAGGCGGUCUGUUAAGUCAGCGGUCAAAGCCCGGGGCUCAACCCCGGCCCGCCGUUGAAACUGGCAGUCUCGAGUUGGAGAGAAGUAUGCGGAAUGCGCGGUGUAGCGGUGAAAUGCAUAGAUAUCGCGCAGAACUCCGAUUGCGAAGGCAGCAUGCCGGCUCCACACUGACGCUGAGGCACGAAAGCGUGGGUAUCGAACAGGAUUAGAUACCCUGGUAGUCCACGCAGUAAACGAUGAA
Molecule: ribosomal RNA, 676 nt
Filed under: uncultured bacterium
Lineage: Bacteria
Description: bacterial SSU rRNA
Rfam family: Bacterial small subunit ribosomal RNA
Source: RNAcentral